This 497-nucleotide ribosomal RNA is filed under the name uncultured bacterium. RNAcentral's name for it is "partial 16S ribosomal RNA". It matches the Rfam family "Bacterial small subunit ribosomal RNA", at positions 28 to 507 of the family's 1533-position model. The record is from RNAcentral.
GAUGAACGCUGGCGGCGUGCCUAAUACAUGCAAGUCGAGCGAACGGACGAGAAGCUUGCUUCUCUGAUGUUAGCGGCGGACGGGUGAGUAACACGUGGAUAACCUACCUAUAAGACUGGGAUAACUUCGGGAAACCGGAGCUAAUACCGGAUGAUAUUUUGAACCGCAUGGUUCAAAAGUGAAAGACGGUCUUGCUGUCACUUAUAGAUGGAUCCGCGCUGCAUUAGCUAGUUGGUAAGGUAACGGCUUACCAAGGCAACGAUGCAUAGCCGACCUGAGAGGGUGAUCGGCCACAUUGGAACUGAGACACGGUCCAGACGCCUACGGGAGGCAGCAGUAGGGAAUCUUCCGCAGUGGGCGAAAGCCUGACGGAGCAACGCCGCGUGAGUUAUGAAGGUCUUCGGAUCGUAAAACUCUGUUAUUAGGGAAGAACAUAUGUGUAAGUAACUGUGCACAUCUUGACGGUACCUAAUCAGAAAGCCACGGCUAACUACGUG